This is a small nucleolar RNA of Ostreococcus tauri, 78 nucleotides long. It matches the Rfam family "Small nucleolar RNA SNORD24". From Rfam's summary of the family: U24 is a member of the C/D class of snoRNA which contain the C (UGAUGA) and D (CUGA) box motifs. C/D box snoRNAs have been shown to act as methylation guides for a number of RNA targets. U24 is encoded within an intron of the gene for ribosomal protein L7a in mammals, chicken and Fugu. The record is from Rfam. NCBI's taxonomy places the organism in Eukaryota, Viridiplantae, Chlorophyta, Mamiellophyceae, Mamiellales, Bathycoccaceae.
AGCCGAGGAUGUUCAAAUAUAUUUGCUACUCUCGAGGUUCGACGGUGACGACACUCAAUCACCAAGAUCGCUGAGGCU